This 148-nucleotide non-coding RNA is filed under the name Gorilla gorilla gorilla (western lowland gorilla). Lineage: Eukaryota; Metazoa; Chordata; Mammalia; Primates; Hominidae. The record is from Rfam by way of RNAcentral.
UCUGGGCUUGGUGGUGUAGACCUGUAGUCCCAGCUACUUGGGAGGCUGAGGCAGGAGGAUUGCUUGAGCCCAGGAGUUCGAGGCUGCAGUGAACUAUGAUUGCACCACUGCACUCCAGCCUGGGUAACAGAGCAAGACCCUAUCUCUU